Long non-coding RNA from Piliocolobus tephrosceles (Ugandan red Colobus), 1653 nucleotides. The record is from Ensembl. Lineage: Eukaryota; Metazoa; Chordata; Mammalia; Primates; Cercopithecidae.
GUCCAGGCCCCGGGUGGCGCACCCACCUCUGGACUACAUUUCCCAGGGGGCCCCGCGGCCCAACCACUUCCGGCCGAAAGGGGCUAGUCCGCGUGACCUGGCGGGUGUUGGAAUGCAAAGGGCUGGAACGUCCCGGGGUGCGGAGCUCAUUGGGUUGGGAUGAACUCGUUCAGACUUGAGUGCUAGGACGCCGAAGGGGGCGUGAGGCGUCCCGGCGCGGGACUGGGGUUGUCUGCAGUUUAAAAGUCAUGUGGCUCUCGGAGAUGUGCGGACUGCAUGCCCGGGCUUCACCGCUAAGGGAGCUCUGGGCUGUGCGAUGGGGGAUGGGAGGAGAGUGUCGGGGCUACUGGCCCCCAGCUCGGGAGAGGGCAGUGUGGGGCCGCGCGACUGCAAGGAGUGGGUGUGGUGUGAGGCUGGCGCAGGAGCGGGCUGGGAAUGUUAGGAGGUCUGGGGUAUCGCGGCCCUGCGUCCUCUUGGCUGGACCAAAAGUCUGUGCAGUUCUCUCCGGACCUGGAUUGUGCGCCCAGCGACAGGUGCUUGGCGAUCUGUGCUCGAUGUGCCCGCGGGGCUGUGGUGGGAGCCCUGUCUGCACGGGAUGCUGUGUGGCUGAGCAUAACCCAGAAGAGGAGAGAACCGCUGUGCAUCUGAAGUGAUGGCAGAGGUAAGUUGCAUUUGACAUUUUCUUCUUGGAAAGAACUUAUUGGUUUCCAGGACAGUGUCCUAUUUCAGAAAUUUAUCUAAAAGAUUUACAUUCAUGAUUUGAAGAAUGGGGAAGAGGGGAGGAAACUGCAUUUAUGGAGCAUUUUCCUAAAGCAGCCCAGGGCUGUCUGUUUUGCAAACAUUGUCUCAUCUGACAGAGAAUUUCCACUUCCCUGGAUUUUAUUCAUGCUCACAACAGUGUUGACAGAGAACGUGCCUCAGUGAUUUGGCAGGGAAAUUGAAGAACAGAAUUAGCUUUUUCAGUCUCACUGAUUUCUACAUUGUCCCCUCCAUGGUCAUAUGCAAUAGGCUUUGCUUAUCUUUUUUUUUUUUUUUUUUUUUUUUUGAGACAGAGUCUCGUUCUGUUGCCUGGGCUGGAGUGCAGUGGCGUAAUCUCGGCUCACUGCAACUUCCGCCUCCUGGGUUGAAGUGAUUCUCCUGCCUUAGCCUCUUGAGUAGCUGAGAUUACAGGCACACGCCAUCACGCCUUGCUAAUUUUUGUAUUUUUAGUAGAGACGGGGUUUCGCCAUAUUGCCCAGGCUGAUCUCGAACUCAGCUCAGGCAAUCCGCCUGCCUCGGCCUCCCAAAGUGCUGGGAUUACAGGUGAGAGCCAUCUUGCCUGGCCUGCUUACCGAUUUAUUUCUUUCUUUUUCUUUUUUUUUUAAGACCGAGUCUCAGGCCGGGCGCGGUGGCUCAAGCCUGUAAUCCCAGCACUUUGGGAGGCCGAGACGGGCGGAUCACGAGGUCAGGAGAUCGAGACCAUCCUGGCCAACACGGUGAAACCCCGUCUCUACUAAAAAAUACAAAAAAAACUAGCCAGGCGAGGUGGUGGGCGCCUGUAAUCCCAGCUACUCCGGAGGCUGAGGCAGGAGAAUGGCGUAAACCCGAGAGGCGGAGCUUGCAGUGAGCUGAGAUCCGGCCACUGCACUCCAGCCGGGGGGGCGGGGCGGGGCC